This 254-nucleotide ribosomal RNA is filed under the name uncultured bacterium. RNAcentral's name for it is "partial 16S ribosomal RNA". It matches the Rfam family "Bacterial small subunit ribosomal RNA", at positions 524 to 776 of the family's 1533-position model. The record is from RNAcentral.
UACGUAGGGUGCAAGCGUUAAUCGGAAUUACUGGGCGUAAAGCGUGCGCAGGCGGUUGUGCAAGACAGAUGUGAAAUCCCCCGGGCUUAACCUGGGAACUGCAUUUGUGACUGCACGGCUAGAGUGUGUCAGAGGGGGGUAGAAUUCCACGUGUAGCAGUGAAAUGCGUAGAUAUGUGGAGGAAUACCGAUGGCGAAGGCAGCCCCCUGGGAUAACACUGACGCUCAUGCACGAAAGCGUGGGGAGCAAACAGG